This 454-nucleotide ribosomal RNA is filed under the name uncultured bacterium. RNAcentral's name for it is "bacterial SSU rRNA". It matches the Rfam family "Bacterial small subunit ribosomal RNA", at positions 29 to 521 of the family's 1533-position model. The record is from RNAcentral.
AACGAACGCUGGCGGCAUGCCUAACACAUGCAAGUCGAACGGGAUCCUAGCUUGCUAGGUGAGAGUGGCGGACGGGUGAGUAACACGUGGGAAUCUGCCUUUUGGUUCGGGAUAACCGCGGGAAACUGCGGCUAAUACCGAAUGCCCUCGAGAGAGGAAAGAUUUAUCGCCAGAAGAGGAGCCCGCGUCCGAUUAGGUAGUUGGUGGGGUAAAGGCCUACCAAGCCGACGAUCGGUAGCUGGUCUGAGAGGAUGAUCAGCCACACUGGGACUGAGAUACGGCCCAGACUCCUACGGGAGGCAGCAGUGGGAACAUUGGACAAUGGGGGCAACCCUGAUCCAGCAAUGCCGCGUGAGUGAUGAAGGCCUUAGGGUUGUAAAGCUCUUUGCCAGGGAAGAUGAUGACUGUACCUGGAGAAUAAGCCCCGGCUAAACUUCGUGCCAGCAGCCGCGGU